AACGCGAAGAACCUUACCAGGGCUUGACAUAGCUACUAAGACCCUAGAGAUAGGGGGAUAAAAGGAGCAUACAGGUGGUGCAUGGUUGUCGUCAGCUCGUGUCGUGAGAUGUUAGGUUAAGUCCUCCAACGAGCGCAACCCUUGUCCUUAGUUACCAUCAUUAAGUUGGGGACUUUAAGGAGACCGCCGGUGUAAAUCGGAGGAAGGUGGGGAUGACGUCAAAUCAUCAUGCCCCUUACGUCCUGGGCGUCACACGUGCUACAAUGGUCGGUACAAAGAGCAGCCAAGCCGCGAGGCCGCGCAAAUCUCAUAAAGCCGAUCUCAGUUCGGAUCGGAGUCUGCAACUCGACUCCGUGAAGUCGGAAUUGCUAGUAAUCGCAAAUCAGCCAUGUUGCGGUGAAUACGUUCCCGGGCCUUGUACACACCG
This 427-nucleotide ribosomal RNA is filed under the name uncultured bacterium. RNAcentral's name for it is "bacterial SSU rRNA". It matches the Rfam family "Bacterial small subunit ribosomal RNA", at positions 958 to 1392 of the family's 1533-position model. The record is from RNAcentral.